This is a long non-coding RNA of Camelus dromedarius (Arabian camel), 1420 nucleotides long. RefSeq lists it as uncharacterized. The record is from RefSeq and is a predicted model, not a curated record. NCBI's taxonomy places the organism in Eukaryota, Metazoa, Chordata, Mammalia, Artiodactyla, Camelidae. The transcript is spliced from 3 exons.
GGGAAAGAUGGAGAAAGACAGCCUGCAGCAGACACCAGACUCUUCUCGGCUGAUGGCCGGGCUGUCCUGGACAUACAUACCUGGAGGGCGACGACUGUCCUAUUGCAGGGAACCGGGAGAGAGAGGUUUGUGGUGGAGCUGGAAGUAGAAGCUGCUUAAAGCCAGUGACUUUUACAUUUUGAAAAGGAUUAUGUCCCUUGAUGAAAUCAAGCCAAAUGUCCCUCAGAUGGGAAUGGAGGGCAUUUGAAGGCAGCAAGAGAAGUCAGGGUUUGUGGGUCCUUCCCGUAGCAGAUACAUGAGUUUCUCCAUUAUCAGAACCCAAGGAAGAUUCUGUGGUGGGCUCAGGGAAGUUGGGCACCUAGUCUUACCAAAGAUCUCCCUACCCAGAGGGUGGAUGGAAGCAGUGGGGACAAGGGAUAUGAAGAUACCAUGCCAAUUCAGUAAAGGAGAACCUCAUCCCUAACCAGGGUAGACAGACAUAUGUCAGUGGGGCUCUCCUCAGGCUUUGGUGCCAGAUAAGACCAUAGGAUGUUCGUUCAACUAGCAGAAAUGGGGAAUCACCGAUAAUAACUGAAGAGAAGAUCCCAACAACAUGUUACAGUCAGGAUAUCAGAUUCCUAUUUAUGUUCAUUUAGAGGCAAUGUGGUAUUUUAAAAUGUGUUUUAAAUAAAUGUGACAUUUCUAACAUGUUUAAGCCAAGAUCCAUUUGUUUACUAGGCCUUGUAUUCAAUGGAUAAGUCCUUGUUAAGAACUCCUCUAGGGCUCACACAGGCACCUUUCAUCUGUGGGGCCCGCUGUUGUCUAUGGCAGCGUACCCCUAAUAAACUCCCUUUUAUUCCCACUAAAAGAAAAAAAAGUCCUUUAGUUGGCGAAGGCCCUAGGUCCCAAAGAGGACAUGACAAUUCUAAGAAUAUAUGGCAAAGUAUGAACGAUGGUUAUUUCAGGUAUGUGUAUGCUAGUAAUCUCAUUUGCCCCUCCCCCUAUCCAUUUCCCCCCUCUGCUGUGUCCCCCAAGGUUACCAGUAUUGCUGUAUCAAAGGCCUUCUUUGCCCUUUGGCUUCUAGUAUGGCCAAAGGGAAAUACCCAACAGGAGACAAAAAGGAGGGACGAGUGAGGUCAGGUAUUCCACCCCUAGCCUGCUUCCUGGAGUCUGUCUUCUUUGAGGUUUCUGUGAGCUGACUGCAUUCUCAAGAUUCCAGCUGCCGUCAGGUGGCCCUUUCCACACAGCUGUCUACCAUUCCAGUAACUCCCCACUCCCACUUUCUCCCCUCACCCCAUUCCUUCCUCUCACCACCCCCACUCGUCCCCAGCUCCUACUCCACUGUCCCCCACACUCCCUCCUCCAGCUCCCUUCCCCACCCCAUCCUCUCCUUCUCUACUCUUGUCUAUAGGCAGUCACACCAUGUCACACGCUGAACUGU